Homo sapiens (human) is the source of this 1520-nucleotide long non-coding RNA. The record is from Ensembl. Lineage: Eukaryota; Metazoa; Chordata; Mammalia; Primates; Hominidae.
GGCAGAAGCACAGUUGAUGGAUGAGGAAUGGAUGCAUGUACCCUCUUGCCUACCACUCCACAGUGGCAUUCAGGAAGCUGGAGCACAGUGCUGGUAUGUGACGCUGUUUUUAAACAAGGAAGUCUGGAAUUGAGUACGUAAGCAGAGCUGAAUCCACGGCUGUGAAGAGGGGAGCUGGCCACCCUGUGCAGUCUGGAUUCUCCAGGCAGAUGGUGGACAUGAGAAAGUGGCCUGCACCCUGAGUUGCCCUUUGGUGGCCUCAAGGGAGUCCAAGUUCCCAACCUCUGUCCAACAAGCUGACACUCACAGCCUUCUAGAGAUAGUGGGUGAUGUCACAAUUUGCUCCCACAGGGGACUGUGAUGGGGUCAGGGGGAGAAGAAGAAGAAAUAACAUCUAUCAAAUCAGCCCUGCCUCAAAGUUCAGCUCACCCACCAGGAAUAAAACAUUUUCUACUGAAAAUGAAGAUAGGUAAGAGGAAUUAUGAAUUCUAUAUCAUAUGUCUCACUCCAAGGAACAAUUUAUCAGUGCUAUAGGGCUAUCAGCUGCUGACAUGAUAAGGAAUAACACCAAAUGAAUAAUGUUUCCUCCAACACCAACUCCUUUAAUUACAAGCCUCUUCUUUCCAGAAGAGAGACAGAAGAUGCAGAAACCCCAAUUUCAUGCACUUGUGCCUGAAUAAUGUCUCCGUGCUGCUUUUUCCAGAUGGCGACCUUCUCACUGGAGGGACUAAUGAUGUGGGCAUAUUUAGGGAAAAACCAAUAACGGAGUCUUUAACCUUCAACAACAAAAAGCAUGUUGUACAAAAUGUUCCUUGGGAUACAUUAGAAAAUAUCAAUUACAUUGCUCACUGAGGUGUAAUCAGCUGUAAUAAUCAAAAUUAAUUUUUAAAAAUAAUUAAACAGACCCCAGGGCAAAUAGUUGAUGCUCUUAUCCUAUGACAUCACAGUGUACAUAUGUACCUGAGAAGUUGUGCCUUCUGUUAGCGACAAAGGCAUCUCACAGAGUUGAGUGAUGGAUGCAGUGUCUGAAAGCUGGCAAGUUUCAUCUCAGCAAAAGGAGGGGGAGCAUCUAUCCCCUUGCUCUAAGCACUUCCAUCUGCAUUCUUUAAGGGCCUACCGUGUAGCAGGCACUGUGCCCAUCCAAGACUUAGUUACCAGUACAAGAUGUUGCUAAGCAAAGAUGCAGUUAAUUUUAAAAAUUAAAACAUAGUCCUUGUUUCCAAAAUAAUGUGUCUUUUAAAAUCUACAAGAUAAUUUAAAGUGUAGAAAGAAAAAAUCAAAUUGAAGGGAAAGUGGGGUCAGUGGAGAAGAAUGAAGCCAGGGAGAGGGUAUGUAUGUAUGCAUUUGUAUGCGUAGGUGGCUCAAAAAUUUAUCCCACUAGUUGUGUGCAAUUACAAAAGCUUAACCAUGCUUAUCUCUCUCAGUUUCUGAGUGUCCAGAUCAAAGACAGAAACAUAAUCUGUUGCAAAAUUUCUGCUCUUCUUGAGUUGCUGAAAGUAGUUCUUCCUGGUGCUAAAAGG